This 377-nucleotide ribosomal RNA is filed under the name uncultured bacterium. RNAcentral describes it as "bacterial SSU rRNA". It matches the Rfam family "Bacterial small subunit ribosomal RNA", at positions 790 to 1167 of the family's 1533-position model. The record is from RNAcentral.
GUAGUCCACGCCGUAAACGAUGAAUGCUAAGUGUUGGAGGGUUUCCGCCCUUCAGUGCUGCAGCUAACGCAAUAAGCAUUCCGCCUGGGGAGUACGACCGCAAGGUUGAAACUCAAAGGAAUUGACGGGGGCCCGCACAAGCGGUGGAGCAUGUGGUUUAAUUCGAAGCAACGCGAAGAACCUUACCAGGUCUUGACAUCUUUUGACAAUCCUAGAGAUAGGACUUUCCCUUCGGGGACAAAAUGACAGGUGGUGCAUGGUUGUCGUCAGCUCGUGUCGUGAGAUGUUGGGUUAAGUCCCGCAACGAGCGCAACCCUUAUUGUUAGUUGCCAGCAUUAAGUUGGGCACUCUAGCAAGACUGCCGGUGACAAACCGGA